CUCCGUGUCAACUCGGAAAGGCCGGUGUCCCUGGAACACAGACGCCUCACGAGCCCCGAAAACGCAAUCAGGUGCCAGAGCUGCUCGCCUGCGUUUGUCCGGCCGAAUCUACCCGCUCGGAGGAGAGCUCUGCCCACCGCUCCGGCGCUGAGGCCAUCGCCCAAGCUCUUUGCGAAAUUUUCUUGGGAAAACUGACACUGAGCCCCCAGUGAAGCAGCAAAGACUGCUUUACAGAAUUUUAUAACUUGCCAGUCCCCCUAUGAACGCGGGGAAAGGGACGCGAGAGGUAGUGGCCGAGAAACGUCGGAAUGCCUUUACCUUUACCUUUCUUCCGGAGUGCCAGAUCCUUUACCUUUUAGGAAUAAGAUAGCAUCCUGAUAAAUAUCGUGGACAUGAAGUAGCGCAUGCAGGUGAAGGAUCUCAGAUGUGUGCCCCAGUCUCCUCAUGUGUAAAACAGAUGACGUUUAACUGCAAGGCACAUGACGGGCAGCCUUCUGAGGCUCUGGAGGCUUCAUAGUGGCAGAGUGAGAGGUCCAGUGAAAACUCAGGCUCCAGGCAACAGGAGCUGGGGUAUUAAAAGAAGGUGACAAAUCUCAUCCUUACGGGAGUUCCCAGCCAAGAACUUCGAAGGGUAGAGGGAAAAUUAUUUUUCCUUCUCUAGAAGAAUAAUGGUCACCUAGGACUGGAAAAACAAUUCUUUAAUGAAGACAGAGAAACCCCCGAAAAGACAGAAGGAAGUUGGUGAAAAGAACAAGAGGAAAGCUGAGGAAGGGACUUGGCCAAUAAAGCACAGGAUAAAAGUGUGUCAGAGGUCUCUAUCCAGGCCAUCGGUCUGAGAGAGCAGACAUUCCCUGAGGGUGGGAGAGAGCUCUCUGCAGACAUGACCUAAAGGGAUCAGAAGCCCCUUUUCAUGAAUCCAAGGGCAGAGGCCUGCAUGGGUAGACCAGGUGCCCAGGAGGCUGCAAAUGUCAAUACAGGGAAAUGCUGCUUCUAGUUUCCUCAUAGAAAUUUUCUUGACCGGGAAACAGAGUAUGCUGGCUAAUAUACUUCCUCCCUAAGGACAGUAAGUAUGACUCCAUGCCUUCCUUGGUUAUUCCUGAGGAAGGACUUCUGAGGGCUUUGCUUGACAUACUUCAAAGUUCCUCCUCUGAGCUCAGAGCAGCAUCUAAAGAAAAGAUGUCACAGCUGGAUACAUCUUUUGCAGAUUGGGGAAGCGCGCCUCCCUCGGAAAUGACUGCUAGGGUCAUCUAAUUCUUGAAGGAAGCGAUCUUAGAAAGGCCAAGAAAGGAAAGGGGAAAAAUGGAGGAAGUGCAGGACAAACAGAUAAGGAAAUGAAAAAUGUUUAUUUUGGCAAAGUGGCUUAUCUUUUACGUGAUAAAGAAGAAGAGUAGGACAGCCAAGCC
RNAcentral lists this long non-coding RNA (1403 nucleotides) under Equus caballus (horse). RNAcentral describes it as "lncRNA (ENSECAG00000048671.1)". Lineage: Eukaryota; Metazoa; Chordata; Mammalia; Perissodactyla; Equidae. The record is from RNAcentral.